Oncorhynchus gorbuscha (pink salmon) is the source of this 1497-nucleotide RNA transcript. It is a transcript of the gene named 40S ribosomal protein S3, with no coding region annotated. The transcript has 9 exons. The record is from RefSeq and is a predicted model, not a curated record. Lineage: Eukaryota; Metazoa; Chordata; Actinopteri; Salmoniformes; Salmonidae.
UCCGGGAAACAGAUCAGUCUUUCCGGUUAACGACACAUCCCAAGAUGGCGGUGCAAAUUUCCAAGAAGAGAAAGUUUGUCGCUGAUGGUAUCUUCAAAGCUGAACUGAACGAGUUCCUCACAAGAGAGCUGGCUGAGGAUGGCUACUCAGGUGUGGAGGUUCGUGUCACCCCAACUAGAACUGAAAUCAUCAUCUUGGCUACCAGGACACAGAACGUGCUUGGUGAGAAGGGGCGUCGUAUACGUGAGCUGACUGCAGUGGUCCAGAAGAGGUUUGGCUUCCCCGAGGGCAGUGUGGAGCUGUAUGCUGAGAAGGUUGCCACUCGUGGUCUUUGUGCCAUUGCCCAGGCAGAGUCUCUGCGCUACAAGCUUCUCGGGGGUCUCGCUGUCCGCAGGGCCUGCUAUGGUGUCCUACGGUUCAUCAUGGAGAGCGGGUCCAAGGGUUGCGAGGUGGUGGUCUCUGGAAAACUCAGGGGCCAGAGGGCCAAGUCCAUGAAGUUCGUGGAUGGCCUCAUGAUCCACAGUGGAGACCCCGUUAACUACUACGUCGACACCGCUGUCCGCCACGUGCUCCUCCGCCAAGGUGUGCUGGGGAUUAAGGUGAAAAUCAUGCUGCCCUGGGAUCCCAGCGGUAAGAUUGGCCCCAAGAAACCUCUCCCUGACCACGUGAGCAUCGUGGAGCCCAAGGACGAGCAGGUCCCCUCAACGCCCAUCUCUGAGCAGAAGGGAGCCAAGCCGGAGGCCGCUGUCGUCGCACCUGCCACACCCGUCCCAACAGCAUAACCAUGAGGGACCCCACGCCAGCGUCUCACAUUUUCAAUAGUAGUAUGUUCUUUUGACCCUCUCCUGCUGCUACGCUCCUGAAGUUCCUGGUAAUGGGCUACACCAGGCGUCAGCAAACCUUUCCAUCUGGAGUGCCAAUUUAUCUUACAAUUCCUAACUGGCACGGCACGCAGGUCAGUAGAAAUAAUAUCUUUGGAUCUGUCAUUGUCAUGUGGUUACUAUAAAUUCAAUCAAAAUGAUCUAAAUCUUAAAGUAACUAUUGUUAUUGCCAGCUAUAAAAAUAGCCUACAUAAAGCUGAAAUAUAAACACUGCAGCCUGCAGGGAUAAAAAAAAAAAACCUGAUUUUCAAAAUAAUCUAAGAAAUCACAUUGGCUGCACGUGGCUGUCUGCAACGAACUUGAGAAACGGUAUCAACUGUGUCUGUCCCUAAGCUGGCGCUAGCCAGUUUACUUUGUGUAAAAUAUUCUGGAUUAUUAUUGAUUAUUGUUUCCUGCGCCAGUGAGCUCGGGACAGACGGCUGUAGGCUUUAUGUGCGAGGGAUAAGAGAUUAUCGACCAGACAAUAGCCCUCAUCCAUAUGUCUAUGAAUUUGGGGGUGAUUGCAUUUCUCCUGCCCAUCCCUCAGCUGUCUACUGAAACAAUGGUCAUCGUGAGUGGAGGAAAUUCCCCAAAUACCUUUUUGUUUUUCAAGAAACAAAUAAAAUAUUUAAAUGUC